Molecule: long non-coding RNA, 5173 nt
Organism: Pan troglodytes (chimpanzee)
Lineage: Eukaryota; Metazoa; Chordata; Mammalia; Primates; Hominidae
Exons: 1
Source: RefSeq, a predicted model, not a curated record
GAGUUUCUCUCUUGUUGCCCAGGUUGGAGUGCAAUGGCGUGAUCUCAGCUGACUGCAACCUCUGCCUCCCGGGUUCAAGCAAUUCUCCUGCCUCAGCCUCCCAAGUAGCUGGAAUUAUAGGCAUGUGCCACCAUGUGUGGCUAAUUUUUGUAUUUUUAGUAGAGACGGGGUUUCACCAUGUUGGCCAGGGUGGUCUUGAACUCCUAACCUCAGGUGAUCCACCUGCCUCGGCCUCCCAAAGUGCUGGGAUUAUAUAGGCAUGAACCACCGCACACGGCCUCUUUUUUUGUUUUAUCAUUAUUACUUUUUUUUUCUGUGAGACUGUCUCACUCUGUUGCCCAGGCUGGAGUGCAGUGUCGUAUUCUGGCUCACUGCAACCUCUGCUUUCCAAGUUCAAGUGAUUCUCAUGCCUCAGCCUCCGGAGUAGCUGGGACUACAGGUACCCACCACCACACCUGGCUAAUUUUUGUAUUUUUAGUAGAGACAGGGGUUUGCCAUGUUGGCCAGGUUGGUCUUGAACUCCUGACCUCAUGUGAUCCACACACCUCAGCCUCCCAAAGUGCUGGGAUUACAAGCAUGAGCUACCACGCCCAGCUAUUAUUAUUUUUGUAAAUAGAGAUGGAGAUCUUGCUAGGUUGCCCAGGCUGGUCUCAAACUCCUGAAUUCAAGUGUUCCUCCUGCCUCAGCCUCUCAAAAUAUUGGGAUGAUACCACGCCUGGUCCACAAAAUGUUCUGAAAGAUUCCAUUGUGACAUAGUAUUGUGCACUCAAACUGUCAUUCAAUAGACAAUGCAAUUAAAGGCAUAAGUAAUUAUUAAAUUCAAGCAAGAUCACAGAAUUUUCAAAGGUAAGACAGACUCAAAAGUCUGCGAAAACUUUUGGAGUUAUCUUCAGAAGAAGCUGUUUAAUUUCCAGCAAUAGGUAAUUCAAUUAAGAAGAAGAAAAAAAAACUAAGUAAGCAAAAAGGAAACGAAAGCAAAACCCCAGUAUUCUUCAAUAUACCUUAAAAUUAUACACACAAUCAUAAAGACAAUAUAGGUUAAGAUAAUUAACUAGCAUUAUGAAAAGCAGCCUGUUAUCAUGAUGUUGCAUUAACUAACCGAAGUAAUUCAGAAGAAUCCUAGAUUCUGAAUGUGAAUAAGGCUGAGACUCAAACUUUAUUGUGACAGACGAAAAUGGUAUACAAUUGAAUGAAUAAAUGUAUGCUAUUAUUAAUAAAAGCUUUAUGUUUACUUUCUUCCUGCUAAAAAAUUGCUACUAAAUAGAUGGCUUAUCUUAGAUUUAGUGGUAUUUCAGAAUUGAUAAAGUAUGAUAGUUCAACCUUAUUCCUUUAAAUACCGAUAUUGAAUUUCAUCAUGUAGAUGUACUAUUUUUUAUUUAUUUAUUAUUUCUUUAUUUCUUUAUUUAUUUUUGAGACAGUCUCACUCUGUCGCAGGCUGGAGUGCCGUGGUGCCAUCUCAGCUCGCUGCAACCUCCGUCUCUCCGGUUCAAGUGAUUCUCCUGCCUCAGCCUUACAAGUAGCUGGGACUACACACGCGCGCUACCACACCGAGCUAAUUUUUGUAUUUUUAGUAGAGAUGGGGUUUCACCAUGUUGGCCAGGCUGGUCUCGAACUCCAGACCUCAGGUAAUCCGCCCUCCUUGGCCUCCCAAAGUGCUGGUUACAGGCGUGAGCCACUGCGCCGGGCUAGAUGUACUAUUACUUAUAAAUCCCUGACUGAUGGACAUUUAGGUUGUUCCUCAUUUUUUUGCUAAUGUAAAAUAAUACUGCAAACUGGUAACUUCAAUUAUACUGGUAAUAUUCUUGUUCUGAGUUCAGGUGGUAAGUUCAUGGAUGUUCAUUUUAUUAUGCCUCAUAGUUUAAUAAAAUGAACAUGUGUAUAAUAUACAUAUAGCAUAUUCCUUGCACAUAACGAAAUUAGUUAAUAAAAAAAAUUGCUGCAAUAAAAAUUCUUGUGCACACAUUGCUGAGCAUUUUUCUUAAAAUAAAUUCCCAGAAGUGGAAUUGCUGGAUCAAAGAGAAUACAUAUUUAAAAUUCUGAUACUUAUUGUCAGAAUGCCUUCUAGAAAGUUAUACUAAUCUUAUAAUCCCCACAACAAGGUAUGGUUAAUACUGGCAUUACUAAAUCUCAACAAUCUUUGCUGCUAUGACAUGUGAAAAUUCAAAUUAUUACUAGGCAAAAAGAAUUUUUAAAAUAAUUCUUCAAAGCAAAACUGCUUACCUUUUUAACCCACACUACGAUGGGGCCAGAUUCGUCUUAAUAAACAAUUCUGAUCAUGUCACCUACCUACCCCAUAACUUUCAAUGACUUUAACCUCAUGGUUAAAGUAAGAGCUCUGGAAUCAAACUGCCUGGGUAUGACAGAUCGCCAUUUUUUUUUUUUUUAAAGUUCAGACCCUCAUCAAAAAUACAAACAUCAACAAACAAGUAUCAUUGAUUAGUUUGUCCAACUUAGGAAAAAAAAAAAUGAUACCAUUACAUAAGAUUUCAAAGUGUUAACUUGGGUUGAAUUAAGUUUAUCAGAAAGGUACCCUGGCUGGGUGCAGUAGUGCACCUGUAGUCCCAGCUACUUGAGAGGCUGUGGUGGGAGGAUUGCUCGAGUCCAGGAGUUGGAAUCCAGCGCAGGCAACAUAGCGAGUUCCCAUCUUUAAAGGAAACUGCAUACUGUCAUUUUCUUCAGUUCACUUUCUAAUAAUUGUCAGAUCAAAAGUGAAAGCAACGCUGUAUCUUCAUGCUGAAAAAUGAUUGCUGUUCCUACAUGGCGAAAAUGUUAUUCAAUGACUAAAUAACUUUUGUGAUGUAUAACAAUCUCCCAUUGAUGUAAAUAAAACAUCUAAAAUAACCAAAUAACCAGGGUUAGAACAGUUCCAAGACUAUUUAUAUAGAACAAGGACUUGCAAUAAAAACAAAACAAAAAUAAAAACGACCUACACAAUGAAAGCCAGAUAUUAUACAUUAAAAAUGCAGUAGAAGUAUUUUUUGGUGAGCAGCAAGGCAUAUUCCAUCAAUAUUUAGGCAUAGAAUGUGCCAUUCCAAGCAUGGACCAUGAUCUAGUUUCUUGCAGUAGCAGCCAAUUGGACUAACACAAUGCUACUUCUUUUACUGUUCAAUCAAAUUCCUCCACUGCCUUAGGGAAUCAACUACCCCAUUUUACCGUCAGAGAUAAGCUUUGUUUUCGUAGCACAGAACAUUCAUUCCAAUUAUAAUGUCCUACCUUUUCUUCCUCAUGGAGGAAAUUUGAUAAAAAAUUUUAACCUUCAAUAAAUAAUUCAUAAAGUUCAAACAAGUUUCAUGAUCGCUAACAUUCAAAUCCAUUUCCAAAACUGGAGUUAUACAAUAUUACUUCUGUGCAUGAGAUUAUACUUAUUGUUCACUAGAUUUAUGAAUAACUUCUGGAGGAUGAUACAUGUUUUAAAAGCCGUAUUAACAUAUGAGUUGACAAACAUUAAAUUUUGUUCCCUUAGAAAUUGACAGAGAAGUCAGAAUGGGGAUAAAUCAAGUCAUCUGAGAGGCAUUCAUUGAGCUACAAGCUAUUUCAGGUUAUAAAAAACACUGUUCCCUUAAUUGUCGUUCCUUCAUUUGCUGUAUUUAUAUACACACUCCUACUCCAUAAAGACCUCUCCAUCUCUCCCACCUCUUCCAACUAUGAACAGUAACCUAAAAUCACACUGAACUAGACGUAAGAGACUCCCAGGAUUUCUCUAAGGUAUACCCAGGAUCAAGGCCCUCUGGGAUCCAAAGAACUGUAGCUCUUUUACUGCAAUUUUCCUUCAGAACCACCUUUCCCGUUCCUUCCCUCCUGGACACCGCCGACUCGCGUGUUGGGGGUGGGGUGGGAGACAGGCCGCCAGAAAGACAGGCUCUACCCAGCCAAACCUGCACCUCCGAGGCCGAAAAGCCUGGGGCUCUUCCUGCAGCACCGGGCGCGGCCAACCCUCGCUUCCCCAGGGCAGGGCUCAGCUCGGGUCAAUGCAACCAGCCAAGUCAGGCCCGGAGCGGGCCGGCUCUGCCCGCCAGUCCAAACCUCUGGACCCUCGCCAGCGGGGAUGGGCGUGGGCCCCGGCGGCCACCGCCCCGCCAACUCGAGCACUGGAGGAGCGCACCCGCUACGCCAGCCCCGGACCUACCUGGAGGGGAGAGCAGAGCUCCUGGACAGCGGCCACGGGCCUGAGGGCGGACGCUGAGGCGGCCAGAGUCCGUCCCAGCAACCCCAAGUAUCCCUAGUGGGGCAGAGCGGGGAGACGAACGGGGGGGCUGCCGCGGGCCAGCGCGGCCCGUCCCAGGGGUCGCGAGGACCUGGCUCUCCCCUUAACACCAGGCCACCGCCGCCGCCGCCAUUUUGCCUUCCACUCAGUGUCGCCGCCGCCGCACUCCACUGCAGGUUUCCCGGAUGUGGGCAUUUCCCGGCGUCGCUUGCGCGGGGGCCGAGAACUGGGGGCUUUUGCCCGCCCGGCUGCUGCGAGGGAGCGCGCAGCCUGCGGCCUCCGGGCUUCGUUGCGUCGCCCGCAGCUCUGAUCGUUCGUGAGCGUCGCCCCACGUCGCUCCCGCCUGCCCCUGCCCAUACGACUCGCCCGCGCCCGUGGUUUAAGGCUGUCUCCCGCCCAGCCUACUUGGUUGAUUCAAUCCUUUUCCCCAUUGAUCUAUUUCUCUGGACCGAGUAGGGAUGUGCAUUUCACGGAGCUACGUUCUCAGAAGGGAACAACUGUGAGUUGCUCUGGGAAACCUCCCUGUGGACCUCAGAAUUCGAGAUUUUUGGCGCUUUGAAAUAAAAUUUUAUUCUUGCUUAGCGUUCUUUCCCCGAACAAGCCGGUGAGCUUCCAGCAUCUGUAUUUUCUGAAUCCGGCAGAUAAGAAAUGCUUGAGCCAGGACCGAUUGAUUAGCAGCGGUUUAGAGAUCUUAUCUGUCAACCGCAUCCGUAGAAGGAGGUCGUUAUUGCCAUAAUUGGAAUAACGGUGACGGUGUGACAAGAGGUUUUACUUCUGGUUAAGCUGAAUGUAAAGUGUGGGAUGGGAUCGUUGGGUUUGAUGUAUAAGGUACCGUCCACCCUUUGUGAAGAUCGCCUUUGCCAGUUUUUCCUCUAGGAAAUAUACAGUUAGUGUUUUCAAGUACCUUCUUUCGUAAUUUUUCUACUACAGAGUAUAAAAAAAUUAAAGACAUCUUUUUCUGACGUUAAA